CCUGGCCUAGGCAUUUUCUUUAUUCUCCUCCCAAAAUGGGUAUCAAGAUUACAAGAUGUGUGUGCUGUAUGAAAAAAAAUCAAGAAAAUUUGUUAUAAAACAUGGAGAUUAACUUAAUCUAGAGUUUACACUGAGUACUUCAAUGUUGUUGUCUAUUCACACGAGCAGUCCACAAGAACAACGGGAGUGGUGCAGGGCCAGCCUUGGGUAAUAAAGAGCCUUAUGAGGAUCUGUAAGACUGAAAACUUACCAACAAUCUUGAUUACUUUGUGGCUGAAUUAAGAUCUUCAUAUCUGAGAUUUCUAGAGUGACCUCAAUGUUUUCCAAUAAAAUUAACACUGAAGGAAUUAAACGUAUUGGUCACGCACUUAAAAGAAAACUGACCUUCUACCUUGUGCCAAGAUUACUAACAUUCAGCUUGUUUUUGCUUAGCCCUCUAGACAAACAUACAUCUUCCUUCGAGCUGUCCAAAGCUAGACAAAAGACAAGUACAAGAGUAGAAACCAAAUUAACAAAGUCUCCCUAGUUGCUAAGCAUCACUUCCUUUUUCCUUUGCUCAAUAUGGAAAGUCUUAUUACUUAAUAACCAUUAUGGCAUACUGUUUCAGGACUUGAGCUAAUUUCUCCAAAUGGUCAUUACUCAUGGCAUUUGUCCUAAUAUUACCACUGGCUUGAUUUCUACUUUUACCAUAUUUCUUCAAAAGACUGGUUAACACAGCAAGCACUGAAGUAAUACAGGCUGAAACAAUACAUUUAUGUAAUAAGAAUUCAACCUAAGAUGCUUCACAAAGCCAGGCGUGUGU
Long non-coding RNA from Perognathus longimembris pacificus (Pacific pocket mouse), 802 nucleotides. RefSeq lists it as uncharacterized. The record is from RefSeq and is a predicted model, not a curated record. Lineage: Eukaryota; Metazoa; Chordata; Mammalia; Rodentia; Heteromyidae. The transcript has 3 exons.